CCUACGGGAGGCUGCAGUGGGGAAUCUUGUGCAAUGGGCGAAAGCCUGACACAGCGACGCCGCGUGAGGGAAGAAGGCCUUCGGGUUGUAAACCUCUUUCAGGAGGGACGCGGUACCUCCAGAAGAAGCCCCGGCUAACUACGUGCCAGCAGCCGCGGUAAUACGUAGGGGGCAAGCGUUGUCCGGAUUUAUUGGGCGUAAAGAGCGUGUAGGCGGCCAGAUAGUCAGCUGUGAAAACUCGAGGCUCAACCUCGAGACGUCGGUUGAAACCAUCUGGCUAGAGUCCGGAAGAGGAGAGUGGAAUUCCCGGUGUAGCGGUGAAAUGCGCAGAUAUCGGGAAGAACACCCGUGGCGAAGGCGGCUCUCUGGGACGGACUGACGCUGAGACGCGAAAGCGUGGGGAGCGAACAGGAUUAGAUACCCUUGUAGUC
This 431-nucleotide ribosomal RNA is filed under the name uncultured bacterium. RNAcentral describes it as "partial 16S ribosomal RNA". It matches the Rfam family "Bacterial small subunit ribosomal RNA", at positions 338 to 795 of the family's 1533-position model. The record is from RNAcentral.